CGGAGGGUGCGAGCGUUGUCCGGAAUCAUUGGGCGUAAAGGGCGCGUAGGUGGCCCAGUAAGCGUGCGGUGAAAGCUCGGGGCUCAACCCCGGGUCGGCCGUGCGAACUACUGGGCUGGAGCACUGUAGAGGCAGGCGGAAUUCCGGGUGUAGCGGUGGAAUGCGUAGAGAUCCGGAAGAACACCGGUGGCGAAGGCGGCCUGCUGGGCAGUUGCUGACACUGAGGCGCGACAGCGUGGGGAGCAAACAGGAUUAGAUACCCUGGUAGUCCACGCCGUAAACGAUGGGCACUAGGCGCUUGGGGGAGCGACCCCCCGAGGGCCGGCGCUAACGCAUUAAGUGCCCCGCCUGGGGAGUACGGCCGCAAGGCUG
This 372-nucleotide ribosomal RNA is filed under the name uncultured organism. RNAcentral's name for it is "bacterial SSU rRNA". It matches the Rfam family "Bacterial small subunit ribosomal RNA", at positions 526 to 896 of the family's 1533-position model. The record is from RNAcentral.